AGCUGCGGAUGCUCUUUCCCAGGAGGCAGCUCUUUGUCACGGGAGCGAAGGAAUCCGCAGCAUGGCUGCCGCGGGGCAAGCAAGCAAGCUCCGUGUUCGGAAUUAGCUCCAGAGAAGCUCAGUAUCCAAGGAAGGCACAUCUCUAACCAUUUCCAUGUAACUCUGUCAGGAAACCUGCUUACAACCCAGGGUGAACAGUGUGGUAAAGGCUUCCACUACAGUCUCUGAUCAUCGCUCCAUCCUGGGGUUCCAGUUGAAACACUUGACAUUUUGAUUUUUCUCCAAAUCUCUGGAAAUCAACACUCCUAUCCAACGAUCAUCACGAAAAAUCUGAGAAGGCAGCUGAAUCCUUGGGAAGAUCAUGGUUCCAGGGAGCCUCUUCUUUCACCUGAGGUUGAGUAUGCCACCAUCCAAAACGCGAUGUUAGCUGGGGUCUCUGGACAGGAAAACCAAAGGGUUUGACUGGCAACUGUCCUCUCCACUUUGAUUCCUGGUCAUGGCGUAGGGAAGUGCAACUCACAAUGGCAAAUUCCUGUGUGCCCUUUCUCCUCUGUACACCAUGGAGUCUACUUCCAGGUUUAAGACAGGUCCUGCACAACUCCUGAAGGACAGCAAAUGUACAAAGGGAAUAAGAAGAAAUCCAAAAGAUAGGAAUGCAGAAAGCCAGAAGAAGAAAAUGAAACCUAGACAACAGACUGAGGACCUAAGCAUGAAAGUAAGGGAGGAAGUGACAAAAGAUGGAGAGAAAGAAGGGAGAAAGGGAAAGUAGGAUGGACAGAAGGAUGAAAACAGGAAAGAAGGACUGACAUAUUUAUGACCUCUAGGUUGAUUUUCUGGGGACCCUAAAGCAGAGAGACCAGACCCCUGGGCAGUGGCUGAUUCCAGGAAAUGAAGUAUUUGUGCAGGUAUGUGUCUAAAAACUGGAUAGAUUCUGUAUUUUUAUUAUUUUUUAUUUUUGUUUUUGAGACAGGGUCUCUCUGUACCUUUGGAGACUGUCCAGGAACUAACUCUUGUAGACCAGACCGGCCUCGAACUCACAGAGAUCCACCAUCCUUUGCUUCCUGAGUGCAGGGAUUAAAGGCGUGCGCCACCACCGCCCAGCUAGAUCCUGUAUCUUAACAAGUUAUUCAUCUAUCUGCAUCCCAGGGCGGAGUGUUCCUCAUCACAACAUGGCUGCCACAAGAUCGCAAAACCUGUAUUCAGGGCUUUACUACUUUGAAAUCCGUGCUGCCUUGGAGGCUAGCACUGGUUGAGUCCCACCCUAGGCACCAAACCCAGCUUACCCCAGAACUAGCAAGCUAGUUAGAGCCCCCAUUAAUUCAGUAUUUGGACCAGAAGCCCCAACAUUCCUCACCUAAUGGUUUUCAGACAUACAGACAAAAAGCACAUUGGGUUGAUAUUGGGAACAGCAAAGUAGUUCCGCUUGGUGGCAGCAUAGCAACAGUAAUGCGAAUGAAACCCUUCAUUCACAUUCACUCCCUCUGCCUUUCUCUGAGGAAAAAAAUAAUGAAAAGAGU
This is a long non-coding RNA of Arvicola amphibius (Eurasian water vole), 1517 nucleotides long. RefSeq lists it as uncharacterized. The record is from RefSeq and is a predicted model, not a curated record. Lineage: Eukaryota; Metazoa; Chordata; Mammalia; Rodentia; Cricetidae. The transcript has 6 exons.